This 497-nucleotide ribosomal RNA is filed under the name uncultured bacterium. Its description in RNAcentral is "partial 16S ribosomal RNA". It matches the Rfam family "Bacterial small subunit ribosomal RNA", at positions 29 to 507 of the family's 1533-position model. The record is from RNAcentral.
UACGAACGCUGGCGGCGUGCCUAAUACAUGCAAGUUGAGCGCUGAAGGUUGGUACUUGUACCAACUGGAUGAGCAGCGAACGGGUGAGUAACGCGUGGGGAAUCUGCCUUUGAGCGGGGGACAACAUUUGGAAACGAAUGCUAAUACCGCAUAAAAACUUUAAACACAAGUUUUAAGUUUGAAAGAUGCAAUUGCAUCACUCAAAGAUGAUCCCGCGUUGUAUUAGCUAGUUGGUGAGGUAAAGGCUCACCAAGGCGAUGAUACAUAGCCGACCUGAGAGGGUGAUCGGCCACAGUGGGACUGAGACACGGCCCAAACUCCUACGGGAGGCAGCAGUAGGGAAUCUUCGGCAAUGGACGAAAGUCUGACCGAGCAACGCCGCGUGAGUGAAGAAGGGUGUCGGAUCGUAAAACUCUGUUGGUAGAGAAGAACGUUGGUGAGAGUGGAAAGCUCAUCAAGUGACGGUAACUACCCAGAAAGGGACGGCUAACUACGUG